Non-coding RNA from Aegilops tauschii subsp. strangulata, 638 nucleotides. Lineage: Eukaryota; Viridiplantae; Streptophyta; Magnoliopsida; Poales; Poaceae. The record is from RefSeq and is a predicted model, not a curated record.
UUUCUCGAGAGAACAUUGUGGAGAACCUAACUCAUGGAUGGUUGGUUCAGUUUUUGGGAUGAAUUGAUGACAAGGAGAGCACGUUGGAAAUAGUGGAAGUGGAGACGGGAGAGGAUGAUGGGAACGAUCAAGUACAUCACAAUCAUCGGCAUCAUGUGGCUCUCCUACACCAACGCAAUUCAGGUUUGAUAAUUGAUGAGGGUGGGUGCCAUGGUCGUCUAUGCUGGGCUUCUGCACGAUCACAUCUUCCACAUGUUCGGUGCUGGAGUGGCUGAUCUUGUGGAAGGGUUACGUUUUCCUCUUCUCAUGGAUUUUGACCAUUGUUUUAGAGGGAUUCGGAUAAUGGUUCUGUGAUUUAAAUUAUGAUGGCCUGCAUCAUGCCUCCCUAUAUUUAAGGCAAAUGAUAAUGGAAGUACACCUUCAUGAACAAGCUAGCCGAGGUCUUGGAAUUCCAACCUAGGUAAACAAGUGAACUCAUUUAACGGUUUCCCCUUUUCUGGUGAUGCAGGUAUAGCUCAUUCAUUAAGGGCUACUCAGCUUUGUCUUUUUCUCUCUCUUUGGUGAUUGGAUUAUAUGCUACUCUGUGUUGAAGGAUCUGUUCAUGCUAAAUUUAACAAAUCUUGUCAUGUUUUCAUAAA